RNAcentral lists this long non-coding RNA (1290 nucleotides) under Piliocolobus tephrosceles (Ugandan red Colobus). RNAcentral describes it as "lncRNA (ENSPTEG00000015856.1)". The record is from RNAcentral. Lineage: Eukaryota; Metazoa; Chordata; Mammalia; Primates; Cercopithecidae.
AUGCUCGUGUAUGGAUGUAUAUAUCGAUCAAUUUAUUACUCGCUUUUUUUUUUUUUUUUUUUUUUUUUCUCUCACCACCCCCAACCCCCUCCCUCCUCUUUACAGAUGAAACAAAAAACAUACGUUUGCAUUAUUCAUGAAAAAAGAUUUUCAAUCAGCACUUCCAACUUUCAAGAGUAUAAAAAUAUUUACAAUGACAUAAAUAUUAUAAAUAUAGAUUGUUGGUACAAAGAGCAAUACAUUAGUUAUUGUUACCUUUUUUUAAAAAAUGAUAAAGGCAACCAUUUUAUUAACAACAUUUUAAAUAACUUUCAAAAAAAGGUAAAUUUGAACACAAUAGAAGAUGAUAUAGAAAAAGAAAUAAACAAAAAGGUAGUAAGUAAGGAAAAACAAAAAACAGAACAUAUAUUUAUAAACUCGGUUGAUUAUAUAAAUGUAGAUAAUAGUGAAAAUAAGAAAGCAGAAGCAAAAACGGACGUACCUACUAACUUAACUACUGAUGUUAGUACAAUUCCUCAAACAGAACAAUCAACAUGCGCAAAUAGCGACAAACCAAGUGAAGCGAACAAUGUAAUAGAUGAAGAAAAUAAAAAUGAGCAUGAACAAGAAUUUAAUAAACCAAUUGUAGACGAAUCAAAAGAAGGUAAAGAUGUUAAUCCAAUCAUUAAGCAAAGCAACGAGCAGUUAAAUGGGGUGGAGCUUGACCAUGUUGUUGAGAUAGAUGAAGUAAAUAGCACGGGUAUAACAAGUGUAAUAUAUGAAGAAAAAGAAGAUACAAAAAUAAGCAGCAAAUAUAAUGCGAAAAUGGCUCAAAUUAUAAAAUCUACAAAACAAGAAAAAAUAUCGAAAACUGUUGUACAAAAAAAAAAAAAAAAUGACGUAAUGAAGGCAACUCAAAAUAAAGUGAAAAAAAGAAUAAACACAAUUACUACUGCUACUGGUAUUGCUAAUGAAAAUGCAAAUGCUAGUGCUAACAAUGACAAGAAAAAUGAUAAAAAAGUAUUGAAUAAAAAAACUUUUACUGGUACCAUUAAAACGGAUAGAAAAGGAGAGAAAGUAAGCGAAAAAAACAAAAAAAUCGGCGUAAGUGACUUAGCCCAAAACAUUAGUAAAUCAGAACAGAAAAAUAUGGUAAAAACUAUAGCAUAUAAAGGUAGUGUUAAACGACAAGGUGAACACAUGAAAGGUUAUUCUAAAAGCUCAAGUGCAAAAGUAAAUUUAAAAGUAAAUCAAAAAGUAAAUCAAAAAGCAGAUCAAAAAGCAGAUCAAAAAGCAGAUCAAAAAGCAGAU